Molecule: ribosomal RNA, 433 nt
Filed under: uncultured bacterium
Lineage: Bacteria
Description: partial 16S ribosomal RNA
Rfam family: Bacterial small subunit ribosomal RNA
Source: RNAcentral
AACGAACGCUGGCGGCAUGCCUAACACAUGCAAGUCGAACGAGACCUUCGGGUCUAGUGGCGCACGGGUGCGUAACGCGUGGGAACCUGCCCUUAGGUUCGGAAUAACUCCCCGAAAGGGGUGCUAAUACCGGAUAAUGUCUUCGGACCAAAGAUUUAUCGCCUUUGGAUGGGCCCGCGUUGGUUUAGCUUGUUGGUAGGGUAAAAGCCUACCAAGGCGACGAUCCAUAGCUGGUCUGAGAGAAUGAUCAGCCACACUGGGACUGAGACACGGCCCAGACUCCUACGGGAGGCAGCAGUGGGGAAUAUUGGACAAUGGGCGAAAGCCUGAUCCAGCAAUGCCGCGUGAGUGAUGAAGGCCUUAGGGUUGUAAAGCUCUUUUACCCGGGAUGAUAAUGACAGUACCGGGAGAAUAAGCUCCGGCUAACUCCGUG